GAAGGUGGCCUGUGAGGGUUGCUGGAGGUAUCAGAAGUGCGAAUGCUGACAUAAGUAACGAUAAAGCGGGUGAAAAGCCCGCUCGCCGGAAGACCAAGGGUUCCUGUCCAACGUUAAUCGGGGCAGGGUGAGUCGACCCCUAAGGCGAGGCCGAAAGGCGUAGUCGAUGGGAAACAGGUUAAUAUUCCUGUACUUGGUGUUACUGCGAAGGGGGGACGGAGAAGGCUAUGUUGGCCGGGCGACGGUUGUCCCGGUUUAAGCGUGUAGGCUGGUUUUCCAGGCAAAUCCGGAAAAUCAAGGCUGAGGCGUGAUGACGAGGCACUACGGUGCUGAAGCAACAAAUGCCCUGCUUCCAGGAAAAGCCUCUAAGCAUCAGGUAACAUCAAAUCGUACCCCAAACCGACACAGGUGGUCAGGUAGAGAAUACCAAGGCGCUUGAGAGAACUCGGGUGAAGGAACUAGGCAAAAUGGUGCCGUAACUUCGGGAGAAGGCACGCUGACACGUAGGUGAAGUGAUUUACUCAUGGAGCUGAAGUCAGUCGAAGAUACCAGCUGGCUGCAACUGUUUAUUAAAAACACAGCACUGUGCAAACACGAAAGUGGACGUAUACGGUGUGACGCCUGCCCGGUGCCGGAAGGUUAAUUGAUGGGGUCAGCGCAAGCGAAGCUCCUGAUCGAAGCCCCGGUAAACGGCGGCCGUAACUAUAACGGUCCUAAGGUAGCGAAAUUCCUUGUCGGGUAAGUUCCGACCUGCACGAAUGGCGUAAUGAUGGCCAGGCUGUCUCCACCCGAGACUCAGUGAAAUUGAACUCGCUGUGAAGAUGCAGUGUACCCGCGGCAAGACGGAAAGACCCCGUGAACCUUUACUAUAGCUUGACACUGAACAUUGAGCCUUGAUGUGUAGGAUAGGUGGGAGGCUUUGAAGUGUGGACGCCAGUCUGCAUGGAGCCGACCUUGAAAUACCACCCUUUAAUGUUUGAUGUUCUAACGUGGACCCGUGAUCCGGGUUGCGGACAGUGUCUGGUGGGUAGUUUGACUGGGGCGGUCUCCUCCUAAAGAGUAACGGAGGAGCACGAAGGUUGGCUAAUCCUGGUCGGACAUCAGGAGGUUAGUGCAAUGGCAUAAGCCAGCUUGACUGCGAGCGUGACGGCGCGAGCAGGUGCGAAAGCAGGUCAUAGUGAUCCGGUGGUUCUGAAUGGAAGGGCCAUCGCUCAACGGAUAAAAGGUACUCCGGGGAUAACAGGCUGAUACCGCCCAAGAGUUCAUAUCGACGGCGGUGUUUGGCACCUCGAUGUCGGCUCAUCACAUCCUGGGGCUGAAGUAGGUCCCAAGGGUAUGGCUGUUCGCCAUUUAAAGUGGUACGCGAGCUGGGUUUAGAACGUCGUGAGACAGUUCGGUCCCUAUCUGCCGUGGGCGCUGGAGAACUGAGGGGGGCUGCUCCUAGUACGAGAGGACCGGAGUGGACGCAUCACUGGUGUUCGGGUUGUCAUGCCAAUGGCACU
RNAcentral lists this ribosomal RNA (1502 nucleotides) under Salmonella enterica subsp. enterica serovar Anatum. RNAcentral's name for it is "partial 23S ribosomal RNA". It matches the Rfam family "Bacterial large subunit ribosomal RNA", at positions 1252 to 2739 of the family's 2925-position model. The record is from RNAcentral. Lineage: Bacteria; Pseudomonadati; Pseudomonadota; Gammaproteobacteria; Enterobacterales; Enterobacteriaceae.